Non-coding RNA from Cinara cedri, 542 nucleotides. The record is from the annotation of a GenBank genome assembly. Lineage: Eukaryota; Metazoa; Arthropoda; Insecta; Hemiptera; Aphididae.
ACAGUGUUACUCAUAGCAACAAUCAUAGGACAAACAAAACAGAUUUUUUAUUUUAUUGUUUUUUUAUUAGGCAUAUAUUUGUACAUGCUCAUCUCUUUACCCUAACUGGUUUCAAAUCGCAAAAUUAAAAUUAAAAAGUAAUAUAAUGUAAAUGUAAAAAAUUCAGAGAAAACAAGUAAAAAUCAAGUUUUCUUCUUCUAUUAAGAACUUAACGAGGAGUAAAUUGUAUUAUGAACAAAAAAUUUAAAAAAAAACACUCAACUACAUAAAACCUGUCAUUAAAAAAAAAAAAUAUAUAUAUAUAAAAGUAAGAUAAAAUACUUGAUUGUAAGUCUAUGUACAAAAAUUAUGUUCUCUAGGCAAUUAUAAAAAGUGCAAAAAUGUUCAAAAUAUCUUUUACACAGUUGUGACCGAUAGUUGAAUAUUAGACAUCUGUCAUAAUGAAUAUUAAAAGUGAAUUCCGCAAAAAAAAAAAAAAAUGUAUAGUAUUAGUAGCUGUUUAACUUCCCAUAAAAUCGAUAAAAUAUACAAUAUAUAUUAUU